This 213-nucleotide unclassified non-coding RNA is filed under the name plant metagenome. RNAcentral describes it as "partial contains small subunit ribosomal RNA, internal transcribed spacer 1, and 5.8S ribosomal RNA". The record is from RNAcentral.
UUUCCGUAGGUGAACCUGCGGAAGGAUCAUUCAUAAUAAGUGUUUUAUGGCACUUUUUUAAAUCCAUAUCCACCUUGUGUGCAAUGUCAGGGUUGAUUUUUCUCUCGAGAGGAUCAACCCCAAACAUCAACUAUGUCUCAACUCUUUGUCUGUAAAAUAUUAUGAAUAAAACAAUUCAAAAUACAACUUUCAACAACGGAUCUCUUGGCUCUC